GAUGAACGCUAGCGACAGGCUUAACACAUGCAAGUCGAGGGGUAACGCUUCGGGCGACGACCGGCGCACGGGUGAGUAACACGUAUGCAACCUGCCCGUAACCAGGGGACAGCCUUCCGAAAGGGAGAUUAAUACCCUAUGACACAGGGAUACCGCCUGGUAAUAUUUGUUAAAGGUUUACCGGUUACGGAUGGGCAUGCGCUGGAUUAGAUAGUUGGUAGGGUAACGGCCUACCAAGUCAACGAUCCAUAGGGGAACUGAGAGGUUUAUCCCCCACACUGGUACUGAGACACGGACCAGACUCCUACGGGAGGCAGCAGUGAGGAAUAUUGGUCAAUGGUCGAGAGACUGAACCAGCCAAGUCGCGUGAAGGAAGAAGGUAUUAUGCAUUGUAAACUUCUUUUGAGAGGGAAUAAAGAG
RNAcentral lists this ribosomal RNA (420 nucleotides) under uncultured Bacteroidales bacterium. RNAcentral's name for it is "bacterial SSU rRNA". It matches the Rfam family "Bacterial small subunit ribosomal RNA", at positions 28 to 453 of the family's 1533-position model. Lineage: Bacteria; Pseudomonadati; Bacteroidota; Bacteroidia; Bacteroidales. The record is from RNAcentral.